RNAcentral lists this long non-coding RNA (1496 nucleotides) under Daucus carota (carrot). Its description in RNAcentral is "long non-coding RNA (DCAR_LNC005012)". The record is from RNAcentral. Lineage: Eukaryota; Viridiplantae; Streptophyta; Magnoliopsida; Apiales; Apiaceae.
UGACUGUGAAUUUGCCGUAGCCGGUAGGGUUUGAGGGGGCGUUGCGAAAUGCGGAUAGGAGUGAGCGGCAUAGUUUGGGGUAAACGGAGGUUUUGCAGGCAAUUGAAGGGGCUUGAGUUUGUCCUGCUGGUGGUGGUGGUGGGGCUUGAGUCUGUGCUUGCGGCGGCGGCGGCGGUGGUGGUGUUGGAACUUGAGUCUGUGCUUGCUGUGGUGGUGGUGGUGAUGUUGGUGGGGCUUGAGUUUGUGCUUGGGGUGGUGGGGGUGGUGUUAGUUGGGCUUGAGUGAUGAGUAUGAGUUGUAACAAUACAGGAAGAAGAACGAUGAAGAUGAAAGCUAAGGAGCUUUUUAGCAGCUGCGACAUUUUAUCUUUUCUUAUACAAAGCGGGGAAGCUGAUGGAGAGAGACUAGCUGGGGAUGCAAUGUGUGUUCAAGUGAAAGUGCGGGGAUUAUAUAGGCCGGAGUCAUGGGACAGGGUCACAGGGCUGCAGGGGACGUGGGAAGAAGGAAACGCGUUAAGCAGUGGAGUAACAUGCAAAUACGAUAUGUGCUCCGUUAUCGUAUAUUCACAUGUACUAUGUAGUGGUCAUAUUUAAAUAACGUACCUAAAAAUAUCUCACUCAAAUUUAUUUGUAUUCAAGUCAGAAAGUGUGCUCAAAUUUGUAUCCCUUACAAAUAGAUUAAUGGAUUACGGUCUGAUAUCGGCUUCAUUCGGUGACGGACACACAAAUAAAUUUAAUACAAACACAAUAUUUGAAAAUAAAUAUGAUGAAAAUUGAUCUAUUACACGGAGUACAUUACUUUAUCUUACUAUAAACUAAUUCAAUUAUAACUUUAAAUUUUAAUCGACCGGGAAUUCAAAAAAUAAUUAUAAUAUAGUUCUUAGUAAAUAUUAUUUGUAGAAUACACUAAGUUAAAUCUAGCAUAUAUACCUAUACUAUUAAAACCGAACAUUAAAAAUUUGGUCGCCGAAAUACAGUCUAUCUAUAUAAUUAAUAAUUAAUCUUUAAUUUAAAUGAUCUUUUGCUUGGAUUUUUUCAAGUAGCGGUUGAUGGUUUUCGAGAGCCUUUUAGCUUGUUUGAGGCUUUGUUUGACUGUGAAUUUGCCGUAGCCGGUAGGGUUUGAGGGGGCGUUGCGAAAUGCGGAUAGGAGUGAGCGGCAUAGUUUGGGGUAAACGGAGGUUUUGCAGGCAAUUGAAGGGGCUUGAGUUUGUCCUGCUGGUGGUGGUGGUGGGGCUUGAGUCUGUGCUUGCGGCGGCGGCGGCGGUGGUGGUGUUGGAACUUGAGUCUGUGCUUGCUGUGGUGGUGGUGGUGAUGUUGGUGGGGCUUGAGUUUGUGCUUGGGGUGGUGGGGGUGGUGUUAGUUGGGCUUGAGUGAUGAGUAUGAGUUGUAACAAUACAGGAAGAAGAACGAUGAAGAUGAAAGCUAAGGAGCUUUUUAGCAGCUGCGACAUUUUAUCUUUUCUUAUACAAAGCGGGGAAGCUGAUGGAGAGAGACUAG